CCCUGAAGUCUGCUCCAGCACUUGGUCUCCCCUGCUUCGAGAGCAUGAGCUGAGCAAAUAUGCUGUCGUCGGAGAACAGUGAAGGCAGCCCCUCAGGGAGCAGAAGCUGCUGCGCCUGAAGAUGCUGGGCAAGCUAACAGCAGGACCGCAAGGUGGGACCUUAAUGGUGGAUCACCCUCGUCUCUGAGAGCAGCACCAAAAGCAGACAAGGACUCAGACG
This is a non-coding RNA of Miniopterus natalensis, 220 nucleotides long. Lineage: Eukaryota; Metazoa; Chordata; Mammalia; Chiroptera; Miniopteridae. The record is from RefSeq and is a predicted model, not a curated record.